UUGACGGGAACUCGGCUGCAUUCAUUCGGUCGGCCUAGCGGCCCGAUGGGACUGACUUCCUCGAUGAGGGCAGUUUUGUCGGUAGCUGUUGGGUGCUUGAUCGGUGUAUUUGCGGCUGGUAUGCGCUGAGAGCCUUGUGGACGAAUGUUGAAGGGCACGUAGUGGACCAUUCCUUACGGGUGUGGAACCCUCCGUGCUUUGAGGCAUGUUGGCCAUGAGGCUUAAAAAUUUGCGUCUCCGCUAUGGUGCGUCGGCCUUGUUGAGCUGUUGCUGCCGUGGUAUGGUCGCGUGCGACCUGCUGUAGUUGGCGAUGGCGUGACAGGGUGCGGACGCGUCGAGACGUCCCUCUCGGUGUGAACGUUGACCACCUAUCCGACCCGUCUUGAAACACGGACCAAGGAGUCCAGCAUAUGCGCGAGUCAUUGGGUGAUAAACCUAAAGGCGUAAUGAAAGUGAAAUUCGUCUCGAACGAACGAUAUGGGAUCCGUGUUGCUUUCGGGCAAUGCGGCGCACCAUAGCCCCGUCCCCGUUGCUUGCAAUAGGGCGGAGGUAGAGCGUAUACGCUGGGACCCGAAAGAUGGUGAACUAUGCCUGAGCAGGAUGAAGCCAGAGGAAACUCU
This 620-nucleotide ribosomal RNA is filed under the name Hysterothylacium auctum. RNAcentral's name for it is "eukaryotic LSU rRNA". It matches the Rfam family "Eukaryotic large subunit ribosomal RNA", at positions 590 to 865 of the family's 3401-position model. Lineage: Eukaryota; Metazoa; Nematoda; Chromadorea; Rhabditida; Raphidascarididae. The record is from RNAcentral.